AUUGAACGCUGGCGGCAGGCUUAACACAUGCAAGUCGAACGAGUGGCGGACGGGUGAGUAAUGUCUGGGAAAGUGCCCGAUGGAGGGGGAUAACUACUGGAAAGGGUAGCUAAUACCGCAUACCAUCGGAUGUGCCCAUAUGGGAUUAGCUAGUUGGUGGGGUAACGGCUCACCUAGGCGACGAUCCGUAGCUGGUCUGAGAGGAUGACCAGCCACCCUGGGACUGAUACACGGCCCAGACUCCUACGGGAGGCAGCAGUGGGGAAUAUUGCACAAUGGGCGCAACCCUGAUGCAGCCAUCCCGCGUGUAUGAAGAAGGCCUUCGGGUUGUAAAGUACUUUUAGCAGGGAAGCGUUACCUGCAGAAGAAGCCACGGCUAACUACGUGCCAGCAGCCGCGGUAAUUC
RNAcentral lists this ribosomal RNA (406 nucleotides) under uncultured bacterium. RNAcentral describes it as "partial 16S ribosomal RNA". It matches the Rfam family "Bacterial small subunit ribosomal RNA", at positions 30 to 526 of the family's 1533-position model. The record is from RNAcentral.